CCCCUACUAUUAGGUACAUAUACAGGAUGACUUUUGCAAUAACCACCCUCAGAUAUCAAUAAUUAUGCCUGUCAUAAAUAAGACAUUGUACAAAACUGUACAGGUAUCCGUCUCUUAGGUUUUAAAAAAAUUGCACAUAUGUACGGCAUGAAACUUCUUGUAGAUUUGAUUUAAUUAGUAGCUUCUGCUACAUCAGUAAAUAUGCAAGAAAUCCAGACAUAUUGGUGAGUAGAAAGUACAUGACAAAUUUAACCACCCACUUCAAGCAUACCUAAGCAUACAUUUCAAACCUGACGAUCCCAUAUAAGACACAAACAGAAGAGAUACAUACAUAUCAAAUGCUACAUAGCAUGAGAGGAUUACUUUUGUUACAACACGGGCAAGACUAAGUAGACUAAAAUAAUCACAACCCAACAAGCACGGCCAUUAAAAGCUGCAUUACUAUCUUGGUGGUACAUCACAUAAAAGCUACAGCCUUUGCAUCUUGUGCUUCAUGCUCACCGAAUGCUUCUUGCUCAUUGAGCUUCUUGUGCUGCUAAUCCCAGUUUGUAUCUGCUAAUGAACUGCAUUGCUAUCUUCAUGGUACACAACACAAACACAGCAUGACAAAUCAGAGGGAGGAAAUGAACUAAUCUCAGUGUAUCUGCUAAGAAAAUAAACAAUGCGCCUAAAGCCUUCAUGGCAACAUUAUCGAUUAGAGAAUAAACUUACAUCGUCCGAUAGUAUGGCAUGAAUGAAAUCAGAAAUUAGGGUACCUUCCACAUUAGAAACAAGGGCACGAGCCAUAUUACUUUCCCUAGGAGAAAGAACAAACGAAAUAGAAGUAAAGCUACAAGAUAUAUGCGCCUUUUCUUUUUAAUUGCACUUCAGUACAGAGAAAAUCUAUCUUGGCAUCCAGCACUGUCAUUAUUUAAAUUGGUUAAAAACUGAUGGUAUGACUUGCAUUUAUCACCUAAAGAAAUUGCAAUUACAGAUGCUUACUAGCAAGUCCUGAAAUGGUGCGCAUUGCAGUAUUCCAGCAUUGAAAUUUCUUUAUUGUCUUACUAAAGUCUUGAUUUUAAUUUCUACAGAGGAACUGGAACACUUUCUAGCUAGAAUUGUUCAACGUAUAUGGAAGGUUGUUCUUCUGGUACGUCCAGCAAGUUAUACAACAAGCUUUGCAUCAAUGAUUACUGCCAGCAAAUUUCACCCAUCAGUGCCUGGUGUUCAUGAACUCCAGAAGAAUGGACAAUAUGUAGGGUUCCACCAAGGUUUCUAUGAAAAGGGUCUACUGCUGGAGAUUGGUUUUGCACUUUUGAUACAUAAAAAAUCAGGGCCUAUGCUACAUCUGCCGAUUUCUAUAGUACUUUUUCUAAUGGAAGCAUUGCUGUGAUUGUACAUGAUGUUCCAUACAUCUAACUUUUUCUCGCGAAGUACAACAAAGGUUACAGUGGUGUCGCUGUCGCCUAUUUACAGGAGCGCAUACUUUGCAUUUGUGAGUUUAAGUACACUGACUAUUCUCUUGAAAAGUUUGCUACCGAAGCAUGCAAAUGUUAAGCUUAUGUGUUCCUCUUGAUUCUAGCCAUAUCACCACAAGAUUGCAUUUAUAAAAAAUCAAAUUUAGAGACGGAAGGGUGUGCCUAGAACUGGAAAAUUUUAAUACAAUCCAUCUAUUAUAUGAACUGGUAAAAUCUAUCUUCAUCUUCACAAUAAAAAUGAGCUUACUGUCCCAUCAAGUUUUCAACCAAUGGCUGCAUAUUGCGACAACAAACUUAGCAACCGCAGGUAGUAAUUAUAUUUUUUAUUGAGUUGUCCUAAAAUCGAGGAUUUAUCUACCCAUCUGCAACCUUCCAACUUGGUUAUCUAAGUAAUUACCGGUGAAACAGAACUUUCAAAAUAGACUACCAAACCACUAAGAACAGUAGCAAUACAUCAUCAAAUUGAAGUUAUAAAAUGGCAUCUUCCCAUAUGAGCAGUGACAUGGAAAAGUACAGGAAAACAGAACUGGAGAUGGCAUCACCUGCUUGCAGCCGACGAGGUGAAGGAGGAAGCGACGAACCCACCGCUCCUGGAACCUCGGAUGGGGAGGCAGUGACCAGUGACGAGCACAAAGUAGGGCCGAGCUUAGUAGCCGGCGAGCUCAGAUCUGCUCUGCAUAACCGGGUGGGCGGCGACACAACGGCCAGGAGUCAUCCGAUCUGCUCCUCUCCGAUCUGAUCAGCUCUGAGGUGCUUCCCCACUGGAACACGCCUCCAUUGGUCGUACUCACCCAGCUCUUGGUUGAGGGAUCUGGGCCGCCGCCGCCGCAGGAGGAGGAGGAAUUUUAGAUCGUGCGUGUGUCGGUGCAUCGGGGAAUCGGGUUUGGGUCUGAAUGAUUAGGACGACGGGAGCAAAUUAACUCUCAGGCAGGGACCUAUUUGCAAACUUGUAGUCAGAGAUUGCUCCACCCGAAUCUGAGCCAUCAAUAUGCCAUCCAAUGGUCCAAACUCAUUUUUUCUAUUCU
RNAcentral lists this long non-coding RNA (2482 nucleotides) under Triticum aestivum (bread wheat). Its description in RNAcentral is "long non-coding RNA (TAES_LNC010549)". The record is from RNAcentral. Lineage: Eukaryota; Viridiplantae; Streptophyta; Magnoliopsida; Poales; Poaceae.